This 735-nucleotide long non-coding RNA is filed under the name Gossypium barbadense (sea-island cotton). Its description in RNAcentral is "long non-coding RNA (GBAR_LNC011266)". Lineage: Eukaryota; Viridiplantae; Streptophyta; Magnoliopsida; Malvales; Malvaceae. The record is from RNAcentral.
UCAGCCUGGCAAGCUCAAGAUCCUUGCUCAUCUUCCUCCUAUACAUCUCAGCAAAUGUGAUGGGCUCCUCAAGGAUUGGUUUCUCUCCCUCUCUGAUCUUCAAUGGAUACACUGUGGCAUCGGGUGCUGGAUUUUGGAAUGUGGCUAUUGACAAUCUGCUGCAGUCUGAGUUCACCACUGCUUGGUGAUCAGCAUUCUUGAACCUCCCAUUGCUCAGAUACUGCUCACCAUCAAUCAUUUCAGUCAUUACUCCACUCUCACUUAAAUCAUAACAAUUUCAAUUUUUUUUUUCCAAGUAAAAAACUUACAUGGCCAUGGUCUCCAAGGUUGACCACAAAGGCUCCUUCCACAGGUUGGACAGUGAUCCAAGUCUUGCCAUUGUCCCGGGUGGCCUGAAGCCCACCAACUUGGUCUUGAAGCAAGAGUGUGAUGGUGCCUGGGUCAGUGUGGCGCUUGAGUCCUAAAGUGAGGUCAGGUUGAGGGCAUUUAGGAUAGAAGUUAACCACCACUUUCUGAUCCAUGUCCACACAUGCCUUUGUCAAGGCCUCCUUCUCUAAACCCAUGGCCUCUGACAACACCUCAAGAAGCUUGCAAGCUAGGCCCAUCAACUUCUCGCUGUACUCCUUUGUAACUUCAACCCAACCCUCUGGCUUAUCAGGCCACCUUGAAUAGUCCCUGCUCCUCAAUGGGUAUGAAAAGUAUGUCACAAUCUCUCGCCAAUCUUGCACUGCUUCU